Molecule: ribosomal RNA, 488 nt
Filed under: Enterococcus faecalis
Lineage: Bacteria; Bacillati; Bacillota; Bacilli; Lactobacillales; Enterococcaceae
Description: bacterial SSU rRNA
Rfam family: Bacterial small subunit ribosomal RNA
Source: RNAcentral
GACGAACGCUGGCGGCGUGCCUAAUACAUGCAAGUCGAACGCUUCUUUCCUCCCGAGUGCUUGCACUCAAUUGGAAAGAGGAGUGGCGGACGGGUGAGUAACACGUGGGUAACCUACCCAUCAGAGGGGGAUAACACUUGGAAACAGGUGCUAAUACCGCAUAACAGUUUAUGCCGCAUGGCAUAAGAGUGAAAGGCGCUUUCGGGUGUCGCUGAUGGAUGGACCCGCGGUGCAUUAGCUAGUUGGUGAGGUAACGGCUCACCAAGGCCACGAUGCAUAGCCGACCUGAGAGGGUGAUCGGCCACACUGGGACUGAGACACGGCCCAGACUCCUACGGGAGGCAGCAGUAGGGAAUCUUCGGCAAUGGACGAAAGUCUGACCGAGCAACGCCGCGUGAGUGAAGAAGGUUUUCGGAUCGUAAAACUCUGUUGUUAGAGAAGAACAAGGACGUUAGUAACUGAACGUCCCCUGACGGUAUCUAACCAGA